Molecule: ribosomal RNA, 380 nt
Filed under: uncultured cyanobacterium
Lineage: Bacteria; Bacillati; Cyanobacteriota
Description: bacterial SSU rRNA
Rfam family: Bacterial small subunit ribosomal RNA
Source: RNAcentral
CGCAAGCCUGACGGAGCAAUACCGCGUGAGGGAGGAAGGCUUUUGGGUUGUAAACCUCUUUUCUCAAGGAAGAAGAAAGUGACGGUACUUGAGGAAUCAGCAUCGGCUAACUCCGUGCCAGCAGCCGCGGUAAUACGGAGGAGGCAAGCGUUAUCCGGAAUUAUUGGGCGUAAAGCGUCCGCAGGUGGCGAUUCAAGUCUGCUGUCAAAGACUAGAGCUUAACUCUGGAAAGGCAGUGGAAACUGGUAGGCUAGAGUACGGUAGGGGUAGAGGGAAUUCCCAGUGUAGCGGUGAAAUGCGUAGAGAUCGGGAAGAACAUCGGUGGCGAAAGCGCUCUACUGGACGGCAACUGACACUCAGGGACGAAAGCUAGGGGAGCG